GCACCACGCAGGAACGAUGGUUUUCCCGGGAGCGCCCGGGGAUGACAACAGGGAACGCGGUGCAACCCCGCGGCUGCCCCCGCAACUGUAAGCGGCGAGCGGAUUUGCAACCUGCCACUGGCCACCCGGCCGGGAAGGCGCAAACCCGCAGUGACCCGCAAGCCAGGAGACCUGCCAUCGUGACGUGCAACUG
This 193-nucleotide non-coding RNA is filed under the name Antarctobacter aquimaris. Lineage: Bacteria; Pseudomonadati; Pseudomonadota; Alphaproteobacteria; Rhodobacterales; Roseobacteraceae. The record is from RNAcentral.